RNAcentral lists this long non-coding RNA (797 nucleotides) under Pandoravirus quercus. RNAcentral describes it as "hypothetical ncRNA". The record is from RNAcentral.
CGUCCGAAAAUAACGGAUUGUCGUGGUGGCGCUCGGCUAGCGCGCGGCCUAAAAGGUUGCUGUUCAUGCAAGCGGUCGUGCCAGGAGCAGCCGGUAUGUCUAGGUAGACUGCCGCAUUGGGCUGGUCGUCCACGGGCGAGUCAAACGGCGCCACCAUCAUGAAAAAGUGACAUUGGGGCGACAUGGUGGCGACAACGAUCGCACACAUUUUGGCCGACUGUCCUGCGGCAUCGGGCCGCGACCCGAAAUCGAGCGGCCACAUUGGCGGCUCGCGUGCGACGGCAUCCUGGAUCAUUUUGACGGCGUCAAACAGGCGCGUCUCAAAGUCCAUGUCGCGAGGACGUGCAUGCGUCUUGUGGCCCCGCAAUCCAAGUUCCCGGAGAACGGCCAGAGGAUGCGGGAAGGAGCCCACACCGACGCCCACCCAUGGCAGCGCCGGCUGCGCAUUGACCAUCGUCUCCCACAAGGGCAUGUGCGCCUGGAGGGUCGCCGCAAGAAGGGCGUCGGUGAGCGUGUCGUUGGCGGCCUUGAGACCCGCGUCGCACGCCAGGACAGCGAGCCACUGUUUUUCGUCAUCCGUGGCAGCACUCGGGUCGCGUGUAAGCACCGCCAUGCGAUGCCACAGGGUCGUCAGCGCCGGCUCGCCAGCAUGCUCUGCCAUUCCUUUUUUUUCAAUCUAGUUGUGUGUUUCAAGGUGCACACGCAACCGAGUUGGCGCGUAUCUCGAAAGCCGACAUAAUGCGCCAUUUGGGUCUAGUCCAUUGGGUCGUGAGAUUGACACGAAUAAACAAAAACAG